GUGCUUUCUUUGGUAACACAUAUACUGAAAUUGGAAUGAUACAGAUAAGAUUAGCAAGGCCCCAUGCAAAGAUGACAGGUAAAUUUAUGAAGCAUUUCAUUUGGGA
Aotus nancymaae (Ma's night monkey) is the source of this 106-nucleotide small nuclear RNA. NCBI's taxonomy places the organism in Eukaryota, Metazoa, Chordata, Mammalia, Primates, Aotidae. The record is from Ensembl.